Hyalella azteca is the source of this 1303-nucleotide long non-coding RNA. RefSeq lists it as uncharacterized. NCBI's taxonomy places the organism in Eukaryota, Metazoa, Arthropoda, Malacostraca, Amphipoda, Hyalellidae. The record is from RefSeq and is a predicted model, not a curated record. The transcript is spliced from 3 exons.
AGUUGGGUAGGUGGUCGAUGAAUGUGUGUCCGCAUCUAUGACCAAAUAGUGUUGCAGCUAAGCGUCUGAUGGCUGAGGUAUGCCAAUCAUGAAACACGUCUCUAAAGAAGAGAUUCAAGUGUGAAAAAUUAUUGUCAAAAGUCUCGUUAGAAAUUUCAAGAUUUGUUUGAAUCUUCGUUUGUUUGUUCUUGCGUGACGAAGAAAAUUAAAUUAUCUCCUGCAUAUAAGUGUGAACAUUUUAAGAAGAGGAAUUAUUCUGUCAACCAGAUUUUCUAACUAAACUGGCGUAGAGACUUGAUUUCAUCAAGUGAUAAUAUAUAGAGUAUUCCUUCAAGCUUCAACGACCACACACCAAAUGUCUCCCAGUAGGGGAGUUGCAUUACAACAGCCUUCGACGAUCUUCGGAGCUCGACCGGGAAGUUUCAUGUGGCCUGGUACCUCCUAAGGCUAAAAGUUCGCGCAACUUAUGAAAAACUUAUAAUGACCUGGAGUAGAUGACCAAAAUUUUCCGAUCGAUGAAAUGUAAAAUUUUGAUUCGAAUCUUUGUUUGAAAUGCUGUGUGUUGUACAACGCAUCGUUCGCGUCGAAGGAAAUCACCCAAUCCCAGCUUACGGUCUUUGUCCGUUACUUCAUAAUAUUAUUUUUAAUAUUUGUAAGAAAUUGAAACCUUCGGCCUUGUUUCUAUAUGCACUAUUCGUCGUAAUCAUAAGAGUUGUUUGUAGUUUUAUCUAUAACCAUUUACCUAAAAACUUUGCACGUGUUCGUUCGAGCGCAUACCGGGCUGUUGAGAGCACUUCAUUUCUCACCGGACUGCACCUCCCUCGCCUCCAACAAGUAUCCUGCAAUUGUCAGGUAGCACAAACGUCUCAACAGCUUCAGGAUAUAAUCAUGUAAACUACUUUGCAACGCUUGAACUACGUAUUGGUGUUUUCUACUCGCCUAAUUUGUCUGCCAAACAUCUGUUACGAAAUAAAUGGCGCUGAUGAAGUACAUAUAUUGGAGUUAACCUAACUUCUCACGGUGCCGAGCUUCAAUCGCGUAGGGCCGCUGCCAGAAGGGCGAUCUGUGGAGGGGCGAGGAGCUUCCAUGGUUGGCGCUGCUACGAGAGUUGGGCCUGUAACUGCCAACGGUUCAGCUUUCCCCAGCAACGGUUUCGCUGCCCUCGGACCUUCUCAACUACAAGACUCGCCCCUCCAUGACGGCGCUGGUGAAGAAAGGAGAUUAUCGAGGCGGCGGGAAGUGCACUAUUUAUGCUACAAUAUCACCACGAGACGGGCUGCUGGCGCUGUCAGCAUCUUCACUA